This 468-nucleotide ribosomal RNA is filed under the name uncultured bacterium. Its description in RNAcentral is "partial 16S ribosomal RNA". It matches the Rfam family "Bacterial small subunit ribosomal RNA", at positions 28 to 507 of the family's 1533-position model. The record is from RNAcentral.
GACGAACGCUGGCGGCGUGCUUAACACAUGCAAGUCGAACGGAAUGGCCCUUCUUUUGUUGGGUUCUCGUGUGGCGAACGUGUGUGUAACACGUGAGUAACCUGCCCUUGCCUUUGGGAUCACUUCAGGAAACUUGCUCUUAUACCGUAUUGUAGCACCUGCUCCUUGUUUGGUUUUGAAAACUUUCGGCGGUUGGGGAUGGCUUUGCGGCUGAUCAGCUUGUUGGUGGGGUAGUGGCUUACCAAGGCUUUGACGGGUAGCCGGCCUGAGAGGGUGAACGGGCAAAUAGGGAAUGAGGUACGGGCCAGAAUCCUACGGGGGGGAGGAGUGGGGAAAAUUGGAAAAUGGGAGGGAGAGUGAGGCAGAAACGCCGCGUGCGGGAUGACGGGCUUCGGGUUAUAAAACGCGUUCGCAGGUGACGAAGAGUAAGUGACGGUAAUGGGUAAAGAAGCAACGGCUAAAUACGUG